CCCCUAGAUGUUCUGGGCCGCACGCGCGCUACACUGAACAGUUCAACAAGUCUUAACCUUGGCCGAUAGGUCUGGGUAAUCUUUGAGCGCUGUUCGUGACUGGGAUAGACCUUUGCAAUUAUGGGUCUUCAACGAGGAAUUCCUAGUAAACGCAAGUCAUCAGCUUGCAUUGAUUACGUCCCUGCCCUUUGUACACACCGCCCGUCGCACCUACCGAUUGAAUGGUCCGGUGAAAUCUCGGGACGGCGGCUUGGUCGCUUGCGUCCGACUGCUGAAACUUGAUUAAACCAUAUCAUUUAGAGGAAGGUGAAGUCGUAACA
This 320-nucleotide ribosomal RNA is filed under the name uncultured eukaryote. RNAcentral's name for it is "partial 18S ribosomal RNA". It matches the Rfam family "Eukaryotic small subunit ribosomal RNA", at positions 1470 to 1796 of the family's 1831-position model. The record is from RNAcentral.